GCAAGACUGCCGGUGACAAACCGGAGGAAGGUGGGGAUGACGUCAAAUCAUCAUGCCCCUUAUGACCUGGGCUACACACGUGCUACAAUGGGAAGUACAACGAGUUGCGAAGUCGCGAGGCUAAGCUAAUCUCUUAAAGCUUCUCUCAGUUCGGAUUGCAGGCUGCAACUCGCCUGCAUGAAGCCGGAAUCGCUAGUAAUCGCGGAUCAGCACGCCGCGGUGAAUACGUUCCCGGGCCUUGUACACACCGCCCGUCACACCACGAGAGUUUGUAACACCCGAAGUCGGUGAGGUAACCUUUUGGAGCCAGCCGCCUAAGGUGGGAUAGAUGAUUGGGGUGAAGUCGUAACAAGGUAGCCGUAUCGGAAGGUGCGGCUGGAUCACCUCCUUUCUAAGGAA
RNAcentral lists this ribosomal RNA (399 nucleotides) under Enterococcus faecium. RNAcentral describes it as "bacterial SSU rRNA". It matches the Rfam family "Bacterial small subunit ribosomal RNA", at positions 1143 to 1533 of the family's 1533-position model. The record is from RNAcentral. Lineage: Bacteria; Bacillati; Bacillota; Bacilli; Lactobacillales; Enterococcaceae.